AUCUAUUCGACUAUAUAAGCUUCGACGACACACGUCACUUCGGGUCCUUCCAUCGAUACCCGUGUCUCAUGUGCGGCACGUUGCGCUUUUUCUUUGCUUCAAGUUUUUUUGUGCGUAGUUUCUAUAUAUUUUUUAAAGACUUCGUACGGUCUGGACACCAAGAAAGGAAAGAUGUUGUCAAUCAACGAUUCCUCCAAGAUACUAAAUCACCGGCCAUUUCAGUUGGACGAAUUGCGCAUUAAUCGAAGAUGAAAACCACUCGAAUGCGGUGUGUUCAAAUUGUGAUACCAUGCCAAAAAAUGUUGGUAAAGACAAGGUAGGUAAAAAUUCACAACUGAAGAGUUCGUAAUUAAAAGGAUAACAAAGUGCUACUUGAUGACCAUCCCUAGUAUUAAAGAUCUGAAACCACGAACAGAAGGAGCGAAACAAGGUGCAGCAAGGUGAAGAGGAAUUAACAGACGAAGAUAUUAAUGCCAGAAGUAACAGCAGCAGCACUUGGCUUUUCGGAAUUGGCAAGAAUAUGUUUUGAUCAGCAAAUUAAAUAGAAAUGUAUGUGAAUUUAAUUAAUGGAGCUUUUGACUUUGAAGAGCUUUUUCUCAAAGUUUUGGUGACCGGAAAUUUUUUUUAAAAAUUACCUCAAUACUCAGUUGACCUCAAACUUUUCUAGAAAAAUCCAAUUUUUUUUAAAAAAAUUCCAUGCAACUACCCCCAUUAUGACCUCAAUGACAUAAACUUUUUUCUAACAAAGAAGUAGAAAAAUUAACGUCUACUGUAAUUUUAUCUCCCAAGAACGAAGACGUUAAUAAAAUAAAUAAAAAAAUAUUGGAAUUUUUAGAAGGAGAAACUAGAAAAUAUCUAAGUUACAACAAAAUAACAAACGCAACAAAUGAAUAGAAAAUUCAAUAUCCCAUAGAAUUUUUGAACGAAUUAAAACCAUCAGGAAUUCCAAAUCAUUCCUGAAAAUAAAAGUUGGUGCCAUAAUAAUGCUCUUGAGGAACCUAAAUACCAAAAAAAGGACUUUGUAAUGGAACUAGAAUUUUAGUAACAGAAUUUUAUGUAAUUUAAUAUUUAAAAUUAAAUACUUACUACAAUAUUAUAACAAUAUAAUAUAAUGCAAUAAUAUUAUAUUAAUACAAAA
Molecule: long non-coding RNA, 1138 nt
Organism: Bemisia tabaci
Lineage: Eukaryota; Metazoa; Arthropoda; Insecta; Hemiptera; Aleyrodidae
Source: RefSeq, a predicted model, not a curated record